Molecule: RNA transcript, 1868 nt
Organism: Strigops habroptila (Kakapo)
Lineage: Eukaryota; Metazoa; Chordata; Aves; Psittaciformes; Psittacidae
Gene: VRK3
Gene name: VRK serine/threonine kinase 3
Exons: 9
Source: RefSeq, a predicted model, not a curated record
UCUAGUGGAAGGUGUCCCUGCCUGUGGCAGGAGAUUGGAACUAGAUGAGCUUUAGUCUGGGAUUCUAUGAAUAUCAACGAAAUGCCAAUUCAGGAUUCUCAGCCUGUUUUGGGGGCCAAAAAGCAGCUAAAUCAUCUGGGCUGCUUCUCAGCUGCUUAGUGACCGCUGAUCUUUUCUUUCCAGUCUGCUUGUAAACUUCCAAAGGAAAGGUUUCGAUCUUAUUCUCUGUUGUUAACUUGGAAACUGCUCUGGAGGGAUUUGCUGCAUUAGUAAGUUUUGCCUGAUACUUGACUUUAGCAGAGGAGCUACCCCAAGGGCAAGUAGUGGGUGCAAAUCCUUUUGGAGGAGGAAGGCCACAUAUCACCCUUAAUAUCCAUGCAGAGCAGAAGGGACUUUGGUGUCUCUUACUGAUUUGACAAACUACUAAUUGAGCUGGAGGGAAUGCUCAGUGAAUGAAUUUGGGGGUGCCUUUGAGAUUCUACUAAUGACUUAUUCUUCACAUGCCACCUUCAAAGCACCCCUCAACUGUAGCCAUGCUGAGAUGCUUCUGUGGCUUAAGCAGAACUGCACUUGCAGCAUGUCAGGGUGCUGUGCUUCUGGAGCAAGGUAAGGAUUAUCUCGUAGGGAUCUGCGAAGAUGCUGUCACAGAGGAUGCUCUUGCAAAGACCAAGUGAAAGAAGUGGAGGAUAAGUAGAAGCAGCUGCACAGGCUGUGUUUAAUGGUGCAGCUGAUGCUGCAGUGCCUCUUUCCCAUGCUCUCGUAACCACAUCUGUUCCAUCCUUCCACAGCGCAGUCAGCAUCUGGAGCCUGUCCUCAAAAGCAAAGAUACUCCCUCAAACUUGAUGUAAAAGGUGGAAGGAUCUACAAUGAACAGAAUUUCUUCCAGCGAGCUGCGAAGGCAGCCACAGGUUUUUGGUGUUCUCUGACUUAGGGCGAACUCUUCAGUCUGUCCUGAAUGAUGGCUUGCACCUACUGAGGGAGAAGGCAGCUUUUCAGAUUGUAGUCCGGCUGCUGGACUGCCUGGAGUACAUCCAUGAGAACGAGUAUGUGCAUGGGGACAUCACAGCUGAGAACAUCUAUUUGAACCCUGCGGACCACACGCAGGUGACCCUCGCAGGCUAUUGCUUUGCCUUCCGUUACUGCCCAGGAGGGAAGCAUGUGGCUUGGCGCGAAGGCAGCAGGACCCCUCACGAAGGCACGAUAGAGUUCAUCAGUGUGGACAGCCACAAGGGAGCAGGGCCAUCUCGCCGGAGUGACUUGGAAUCUCUGGGCUACUGUCUUCUGAAAUGGCUCUGUGGCUUCUUGCCUUGGUCUGAUGAGCUGGACAAAGUAGAAACUGUGAUGGAGAAGAAGGAAAAGUACAGAGAGGAUGUGAAAUGCCUUCUCCGACUGUGCUUCAGGCAGAGAUCCAUUCCAGAUGCCCUACAGAGCUACCUGCAGCAAGUAAUGGUGCUGGAGUACGAGGCAAAGCCUGACUACGAGGCCCUGCGGCAGCUCUUCAAGAAACCACUGGAAAAGAUGAAAGCUUCAGCUUAUGACUCUGUGGAUAUCAAAAUGGUGCCCUGAAUCAAGAGAACUUGCACAGGAAAAGAGUUAAAAGCUUUCUGCAGUGAGGCCUUUCACAGCUAUUUAACUUCUACCCCCCUGUUUUAGAACAGUUUUAAUGUGAGCCAAUGCUGAAUUUUGGGCUGCUGUUGUAAGAAGUUAAUGUGAAGACGCUCCUGUGUGGCAGGUCAUUCUAAGAACUGUGAUGUAGCCACAGGGAGAAGGGCAAAGCCUGGCACAGAAAACUAAAUCAGGGACUUUUUUAUUUUAACUAGAGUGACAGUACGUAGUUUUGUAAUAAACUCUGUGGCCAAGCACCUAAA